RNAcentral lists this ribosomal RNA (763 nucleotides) under uncultured Streptococcus sp. Its description in RNAcentral is "bacterial SSU rRNA". It matches the Rfam family "Bacterial small subunit ribosomal RNA", at positions 28 to 776 of the family's 1533-position model. Lineage: Bacteria; Bacillati; Bacillota; Bacilli; Lactobacillales; Streptococcaceae. The record is from RNAcentral.
GACGAACGCUGGCGGCGUGCCUAAUACAUGCAAGUAGAACGCUGAAGGAGGAGCUUGCUUCUCCAGAUGAGUUGCGAACGGGUGAGUAACGCGUAGGUAACCUGCCUGGUAGCGGGGGAUAACUAUUGGAAACGAUAGCUAAUACCGCAUAACAGUAGAUAUUGCAUGAUAUCUGCUUAAAAGGUGCAAUUGCAUCACUACCAGAUGGACCUGCGUUGUAUUAGCUAGUUGGUGAGGUAACGGCUCACCAAGGCGACGAUACAUAGCCGACCUGAGAGGGUGAUCGGCCACACUGGGACUGAGACACGGCCCAGACUCCUACGGGAGGCAGCAGUAGGGAAUCUUCGGCAAUGGACGGAAGUCUGACCGAGCAACGCCGCGUGAGUGAAGAAGGUUUUCGGAUCGUAAAGCUCUGUUGUAAGAGAAGAACGAGUGUGAGAGUGGAAAGUUCACACUGUGACGGUAUCUUACCAGAAAGGGACGGCUAACUACGUGCCAGCAGCCGCGGUAAUACGUAGGUCCCGAGCGUUGUCCGGAUUUAUUGGGCGUAAAGCGAGCGCAGGCGGUUAGAUAAGUCUGAAGUUAAAGGCUGUGGCUUAACCAUAGUACGCUUUGGAAACUGUUUAACUUGAGUGCAAGAGGGGAGAGUGGAAUUCCAUGUGUAGCGGUGAAAUGCGUAGAUAUAUGGAGGAACACCGGUGGCGAAAGCGGCUCUCUGGCUUGUAACUGACGCUGAGGCUCGAAAGCGUGGGGAGCAAACAGG